Mesocricetus auratus (golden hamster) is the source of this 468-nucleotide long non-coding RNA. RefSeq lists it as uncharacterized. Lineage: Eukaryota; Metazoa; Chordata; Mammalia; Rodentia; Cricetidae. The transcript is spliced from 3 exons. The record is from RefSeq and is a predicted model, not a curated record.
AUUUGAGGACUGGGGAACAAGAGAGGAAGGAGAAGGACUUCAGAGGCCAGUCACCCAGCUACACAGUCAGACAUGGAGUAAGGAGAGAAAAGGUUGUAUACAGGAAUACAAAAAGUACUUGACUUCCAGGGAUCUGGAAAGAUGCCACCAAGAAUCAGAAGAAAUGAGAGGACGCUCUUCUACAACCACUACUGACAACUGGUAGCAUUAUUUCUGCUAACCAGUGACCUCCUAUGAAUGAAAGCACAUUCCAAGCCCCGUGGACUUCUCCUGGACAGUGGACACACGAUGCUGCUUUUCAGAAAUAAAGAAGGCCCCAGUGUGCACGGCAGGGCCACGGAGUCCCUUCAGAUUCGCACAGCAUGCUGUUUGUUAUGUGGGAACAAGCUACAAUCACAGAGCACUUUUACAUUCCUUGGGACAAAAGAAAUUUCACAAAUUAUUCAAUAAAUCUCCGAUUUUCUGUUA